RNAcentral lists this ribosomal RNA (433 nucleotides) under uncultured bacterium. Its description in RNAcentral is "partial 16S ribosomal RNA". It matches the Rfam family "Bacterial small subunit ribosomal RNA", at positions 29 to 507 of the family's 1533-position model. The record is from RNAcentral.
AACGAACGCUGGCGGCAUGCCUAACACAUGCAAGUCGAACGAGACCUUCGGGUCUAGUGGCGCACGGGUGCGUAACGCGUGGGAAUCUGCCCUUGGGUUCGGAAUAACAGUUGGAAACGACUGCUAAUACCGGAUGAUGACGUAAGUCCAAAGAUUUAUCGCCCAAGGAUGAGCCCGCGUAGGAUUAGCUAGUUGGUGAGGUAAAGGCUCACCAAGGCGACGAUCCUUAGCUGGUCUGGGAGGAUGAUCAGCCACGCUGGGACUGAGACACGGCCCAGACUGCUACGGGGGGCAGCAGUGGGGUAUAUUGGGCAAGGGGCGAAAGCCUGAUCCAGCAGUGCCGCGUGAGUGAUGAAGGCCUUAGGGUUGUAAAGCUCUUUUACCCGAGAUGAUAAUGACAGUACCGGGAGAAUAAGCUCCGGCUAACUCCGUG